CGUACGUGCAUGCACGACCAUCCCCUAGUAGUGAUGGUUGUGCCAUCUUGUCGGAACAGUGCGCAAACGGCUCUGCUAUCCCUUCCUCGAGAGCAAGCGCGGCCAUCCCCGCUCGCUAAAAGGCUCGCCCACGCAGAGCCCCUCUCUCGCACCCUGGCAUUUGGGACUAAGGUUCUUGCAUUUCUUCUACCCCUGCCUUGCUCUGCAGUCGCUGAGGUUGGAGUCGCGCGCGUGCGCCAUCCUCGUCCUCCAAGGAAAUCUUGAGUUGGCGAUGGGCUUGCAAGGAAGGGAGUGUUCCAGCUCUCUGUUGAUCUGGGCCUAACGACUAUAAUCUCAGCGUAAUCAGCUGUUAGUUCAGGUGAUCUGUUGUUGCUGCCUGUAGCUACGACCUUACUUCCUCCUUUCGUGCACAUCUAUGGGCUACUGUGAGGGUAAGACUUUUCCUCUAUUUGCUAUGGUUCUUGGCCAUUCCAAAGAUUACGUGCUUCAUUAUGAUUUCUUGUGAGCUCGUGAAAAUCUUGUUCAGUCUCUUUUUCCAUAUGCUUUUACUCGUGCUUGUGGGUUGCUUUUGGCGAAGUAGUUUACUUGUGUAAUUGUUUGAUUCUGUAUUAGUGUGUGUGCUGCUUGAUGCUGUGCAGUCUUAGGAUCUCACGGGUGGACCUUCAUAUGAGAGAGUUGUGCGUUGUCGUGAGAAGAGACAGAAAAGACAUCUUGCAACUGUACGAGGUUUGCCGUGUAGGCUAUCUGAGAGAUUUCUAUCCUCUGUUGGAAAGGGUUGUUUCUAUUUCGGUAUACUGAAUAUGUAUAUAGUUUGUUUGGC
This is a long non-coding RNA of Sorghum bicolor (sorghum), 820 nucleotides long. RefSeq lists it as uncharacterized. NCBI's taxonomy places the organism in Eukaryota, Viridiplantae, Streptophyta, Magnoliopsida, Poales, Poaceae. The transcript has 4 exons. The record is from RefSeq and is a predicted model, not a curated record.